This 492-nucleotide ribosomal RNA is filed under the name uncultured bacterium. Its description in RNAcentral is "partial 16S ribosomal RNA". It matches the Rfam family "Bacterial small subunit ribosomal RNA", at positions 29 to 507 of the family's 1533-position model. The record is from RNAcentral.
AGUGAACGCUGGCGGUAGGCCUAACACAUGCCAGUCGAACGGCAGCACAGUAAGAGCUUGCUCUUACGGGUGGCGAGUGGCGGACGGGUGAGGAAUACAUCGGAAUCUACUUUUUCGUGGGGGAUAACGUAGGGAAACUUACGCUAAUACCGCAUACGUCCUACGGGUGAAAGCAGGGGAUCUUCGGACCUUGCGCGAUUGAAUGAGCCGAUGUCGGAUUAGCUAGUUGGCGGGGUAAAGGCCCACCAAGGCGACGAUCCGUAGCUGGUCUGAGAGGAUGAUCAGCCACACUGGAACUGAGACACGGUCCAGACUCCUACGGGAGGCAGCAGUGGGGAAUAUUGGACAAUGGGCGCAAGCCUGAUCCAGCCAUACCGCGUGGGUGAAGAAGGCCUUCGGGUUGUAAAGCCCUUUUGUUGGGAAAGAAAAGCAGCAGGUUAAUACCCCGCUGUUCUGACGGUACCCAAAGAAUAAGCACCGGCUAACUUCGUG